Molecule: ribosomal RNA, 874 nt
Filed under: uncultured archaeon
Lineage: Archaea
Description: bacterial SSU rRNA
Rfam family: Archaeal small subunit ribosomal RNA
Source: RNAcentral
UCCGGUUGAUCCUGCCGGAGGCCACUGCUAUCGGGCUCCGACUAAGCCAUGCGAGUUUAGGGGCUCCUUCGGGAGCACCGGCGGACGGCUCAGUAACACGUGGACAACCUACCCUCGGGUGGGGGAUAACCUCGGGAAACUGAGGCUAAUACCCCAUAGGCCUCGGGUACUGGAAGGUCCCGAGGCUGAAAGCUCCGGCGCCCGAGGAUGGGUCUGCGGCCUAUCAGGUAGUUGGUGGUGUAAAGGACCACCAAGCCUACGACGGGUACGGGCCCUGAGAGGGGGAGCCCGGAGAUGGACUCUGAGACACGAGUCCAGGCCCUACGGGGCGCAGCAGGCGCGAAACCUUCGCAAUGCGCGAAAGCGCGACGAGGGGAGCCCGAGUGCCCUUCCUUCGGGGAGGGCUUUUCUGGAGCCUAAAAAGCUCCAGGAAUAAGGGCUGGGCAAGACGGGUGCCAGCCGCCGCGGUAAUACCCGCAGCUCGAGUGGUGGCCACUAUUAUUGAGCCUAAAGCGUCCGUAGCCGGACCCGUAAAUCCCUGGGUAAAUCCUGGCGCUUAACGUCAGGAAUUCCGGGGAGACUGCGGGUCUUGGGACCGGGAGAGGCCGGAGGUACUCCCGGGGUAGCGGUGAAAUGCUGUAAUCCUGGGGGGACCACCUGUGGCGAAAGCGUCCGGCUUGAACGGCUCCGACGGUGAGGGACGAAGGCCAGGGGAGCAAACCGGAUUAGAUACCCGGGUAGUCCUGGCUGUAAACGCUGCCCGCUUGGUGUUGCCGGUCUUUCGGGGGCCGGCAGUGCCGGAGCGAAGGUGUUAAGCGGGCCGCUUGGGAAGUACGGCCGCAAGGCUGAAACUUAAAGGAAUUGGCGGGAGAGC